AGAAACUCUGCUUCCACACCCAUUUGGAUCAUUCAGCUAAGAACAGGCACAGCCCAGGGUCAUGUUUGACCUGAAUGGAGCAGGUUUGUCUGCAGUCAGGUGUCUGGGACCCCAGGACAGCUCCCACACUGCCAGAACUGGAAGGAGCAGGGAAAUUUUCCCCUACUUUGGGAUCAGGUGGGAAAGGUUCUUUGGGGUGACAGAUGAAGCUGUAUUCUCACCUCUGCAAGUGCCUCUUUGCCAGUCAGUCCAAUUGUGGUGGAGGGCUGCUGUGAGCCUGAUUUCCACACAGGAGUUUGCAGAAAUAUGUUUUAUUGCAGGU
RNAcentral lists this long non-coding RNA (322 nucleotides) under Zonotrichia albicollis (white-throated sparrow). RNAcentral describes it as "lncRNA (ENSZALG00000004089.1)". The record is from RNAcentral. Lineage: Eukaryota; Metazoa; Chordata; Aves; Passeriformes; Passerellidae.